This 2784-nucleotide ribosomal RNA is filed under the name human gut metagenome. RNAcentral's name for it is "bacterial LSU rRNA". It matches the Rfam family "Bacterial large subunit ribosomal RNA". The record is from RNAcentral.
AGGGCGCACGGUGGAUGCCUUGGCACUAGAAGCCGAUGAAGGACGUGACUAACGACGAAAUGCUUUGGGGAGCUGUAAGUGAGCAAUGAUCCAGAGAUGUCCGAAUGGGGGAACCCGGCAGGUAAUGCCUGUCACUCAUUACUGUUAAGGUAAUGUAGAGGAAGACGCAGUGAACUGAAACAUCUAAGUAGCUGUAGGAAGAGAAAGCAAAAGCGAUUGCCUUAGUAGCGGCGAGCGAAACGGCAAGAGGGCAAACCGAAGAGUUUACUCUUCGGGGUUGUAGGACUGCAACGUGGACUUAAAGAUUAUAGAAGAACUACCUGGGAAGGUAGGCCAAAGAGAGUAAUAGCCUCGUAUUCGAAAUAGUCUUUAUACCUAGCAGUAUCCUGAGUACGGCGAGACACGAGAAAUCUCGUCGGAAUCUGGGAGGACCAUCUCCCAACCCUAAAUACUCUCUAGUGACCGAUAGUGAACCAGUACCGUGAGGGAAAGGUGAAAAGCACCCCGGGAGGGGAGUGAAAUAGAACCUGAAACCGUGUGCCUACAACAAGUUCGAGCCCGUUAAUGGGUGAGAGCGUGCCUUUUGUAGAAUGAACCGGCGAGUUACGAUAUGAUGCGAGGUUAAGUUGAAGAGACGGAGCCGUAGGGAAACCGAGUCUUAAUAGGGCGCAUUAGUAUCAUGUCGUAGACCCGAAACCAUGUGACCUACCCAUGAGCAGGUUGAAGGUGAGGUAAAACUCACUGGAGGACCGAACCAGGGCACGUUGAAAAGUGCUUGGAUGACUUGUGGGUAGCGGAGAAAUUCCAAACGAACUUGGAGAUAGCUGGUUCUCUCCGAAAUAGCUUUAGGGCUAGCGUCGAUGUUAAGUCUCUUGGAGGUAGAGCACUGUUUGGGUGAGGGGUCCAUCCCGGAUUACCAAUCUCAGAUAAACUCCGAAUGCCAAUGAGAUAUAAUCGGCAGUCAGACUGCGAGUGCUAAGAUCCGUAGUCGAAAGGGAAACAGCCCAGACCACCAGCUAAGGUCCCAAAAUAUAUGUUAAGUGGAAAAGGAUGUGGGGUUGCACAGACAACUAGGAUGUUAGCUUAGAAGCAGCUAUUCAUUCAAAGAGUGCGUAAUAGCUCACUAGUCGAGUGACCCUGCGCCGAAAAUGUACCGGGGCUAAAACAUAUUACCGAAGCUGUGGAUACCUUUAUAGGUAUGGUAGGAGAGCGUUCUAUGUGCGAAGAAGGUGUACCGUGAGGAGUGCUGGAGCGCAUAGAAGUGAGAAUGCCGGUAUGAGUAGCGAAAGACAGGUGAGAAUCCUGUCCACCGUAAGACUAAGGUUUCCAGGGGAAGGCUCGUCCGCCCUGGGUUAGUCGGGACCUAAGGAGAGACCGAAAGGUGUAUCCGAUGGACAACAGGUUGAUAUUCCUGUACUAGAGUAUAUAGUGAUGGAGGGACGCAGUAGGCUAACUAAACCAGACGAUUGGAAGUGUCUGGCCAAGCAGUGAGGUGUGAUAUGAGUCAAAUGCUUAUAUCUUUAACAUUGAGCUGUGAUGGGGAGCGAAGUUUAGUAGCGAAGUUAGUGAUGUCACACUGCCGAGAAAAGCUUCUAGCGUUAAUUAUACUCUACCCGUACCGCAAACCGACACAGGUAGUCGAGGCGAGUAGCCUCAGGUGAGCGAGAGAACUCUCGUUAAGGAACUCGGCAAAAUGGCCCCGUAACUUCGGGAGAAGGGGCGCUGACUGAUGGUCAGCCGCAGUGAAUAGGCCCAAGCAACUGUUUAUCAAAAACACAGCUCUCUGCUAAAUCGUAAGAUGAUGUAUAGGGGGUGACGCCUGCCCGGUGCUGGAAGGUUAAGAGGAGUGCUUAGCGUAAGCGAAGGCAUGAAUUGAAGCCCCAGUAAACGGCGGCCGUAACUAUAACGGUCCUAAGGUAGCGAAAUUCCUUGUCGGGUAAGUUCCGACCCGCACGAAAGGCGUAAUGAUUUGGGCACUGUCUCAACGAGAGACUCGGUGAAAUUUUAGUACCUGUGAAGAUGCAGGUUACCCGCGACAGGACGGAAAGACCCCAUGGAGCUUUACUGCAGUUUGAUAUUGAGUAUCUGUACCACAUGUACAGGAUAGGUAGGAGCCUAUGACCUCGGGACGCCAGUUUCGAGUGAGGCGUUGUUGGGAUACUACCCUUGUGUUAUGGCUACUCUAACCCAGAUAGGUUAUCCCUAUCGGAGACAGUGUCUGACGGGCAGUUUGACUGGGGCGGUCGCCUCCUAAAAGGUAACGGAGGCGCCCAAAGGUUCCCUCAGAAUGGUUGGAAAUCAUUCGCAGAGUGUAAAGGUAUAAGGGAGCUUGACUGCGAGAGCUACAACUCGAGCAGGGACGAAAGUCGGGCUUAGUGAUCCGGUGGUUCCGUAUGGAAGGGCCAUCGCUCAACGGAUAAAAGCUACCCUGGGGAUAACAGGCUUAUCUCCCCCAAGAGUUCACAUCGACGGGGAGGUUUGGCACCUCGAUGUCGGCUCGUCGCAUCCUGGGGCUGUAGUAGGUCCCAAGGGUUGGGCUGUUCGCCCAUUAAAGCGGCACGCGAGCUGGGUUCAGAACGUCGUGAGACAGUUCGGUCCCUAUCCGUCGCGGGCGUAGGAAAUUUGAGAGGAUCUGCUCCUAGUACGAGAGGACCAGAGUGGACUUACCGCUGGUGUACCAGUUGUUCUGCCAAGAGCAUCGCUGGGUAGCUAUGUAGGGAAGGGAUAAACGCUGAAAGCAUCUAAGUGUGAAGCCCACCUCAAGAUGAGAUUUCCCAUGAUUUU